Molecule: ribosomal RNA, 393 nt
Filed under: uncultured bacterium
Lineage: Bacteria
Description: partial 16S ribosomal RNA
Rfam family: Bacterial small subunit ribosomal RNA
Source: RNAcentral
AUACGGAGGAUCCGAGCGUUAUCCGGAUUUAUUGGGUUUAAAGGGUGCGCAGGCGGGAGUUUAAGUCGGCGGUGAAAUUUUGCAGCUCAACUGUAAAAGUGCCUUCGAAACUGGUUUCCUUGAGUGUAGAUGAAGUAGGCGGGAUUUGUGGUGUAGCGGUGAAAUGCAUAGAUAUCACGAGGAACUCCGAUUGCGCAGGCAGCUUACUAAACUACUACUGACGCUCAGGCACGAAGGCGUGGGGAUCAAACAGGAUUAGAUACCCUGGUAGUCCACGCAGUAAACGAUGAUUACUAGCUGUUUGCGAUACAAUGUAAGCGGCUGAGCGAAAGCGUUAAGUAAUCCACCUGGGGAGUACGUUCGCAAGAAUGAAACUCAAAUGAAUUGACGGGG